Molecule: long non-coding RNA, 323 nt
Filed under: Anneissia japonica
Lineage: Eukaryota; Metazoa; Echinodermata; Crinoidea; Comatulida; Comatulidae
Description: uncharacterized LOC117109135, transcript variant X1
Source: RNAcentral
GUUUCUCAAAGUGUGAAGAUUCAAAGUGCUUCAACUUGUGUACAGACUGUCCGAUCGGAUGGGAAUUUAACGCCGAUUUUUUGAGCUGUUAUUACUUGGUUCAAGAUACACAUACUGACUAUCUAUUAGCAAACAGCACUUGUCAAACACUUGGUGGACAUCUGGCGGCCAUUUCUACUCCGGAGGAGAACUCUUGGAUAAAAACGAAGUUGUAUGCGGACUCAAUAAUGUGGCAACCCGCUUGGAUCCGUUAUGAUGAUAGGUUGUUUGGGUAUCAAAGUAAUAUAUAUAUAUGUCCAUAUUUUAAAAUUAAUUUAUCUAAA